GCUACUCUCCGCUCUCUGCUGCCGUCUGCCUCCAGCCGCUGCGCUCUUAAAGCUUCCGUGCGCAAAAAUAACCCCACUGAGCAUGUGCGCUCAGACCGGCCGGCCUGCUGACAAACACUCAGGAGGUCAAACAACCCCCCAUGACAACAGCAGUCCUUGAUGCCACCCUCAGCAGGACAAUGCACCCCGACACGCCACAAAAACUGCUCAGGAGUGGCCCAGGGAGCACGACAGAGCUAAGAUGUUCACCUGGGUUCAUCACUCCCCAGAUGCAAAUCUUACCGAGCAUCUGUGGGAUGUACCAGGACAAGUCUGACCUAGGUAGGUCCCACCCUGUAAAUCACAGGACCCACAGAAUUCACUUUCACUAUCCCGCUGCCAUAGGACAUUCCCAGAGGUCCCACUGGGUCAGAGGAGUUUUAGCAGCAUUAAAGGGACCAACACAGUAUUAGACAGGUGGUCAUAAUGUUAUACCAGAUCGGUGUACACUACUUCAAAAGUUUGGGGUCAUCAAGACAAUUUUAUGUUUUCCAUGAAAACUCACUUUUAUUCAUGUACUAACAUAAUUGCACAAGGGUUUUCUAGUCAUUAAUUAGCCUUUCAACACCAUUAGCUAACACAAUGUAGCAUUAGAACACAGGAGUGAUGGUUGCUGGAAAUGUUCCUCUGUACCCCUAUGGAGAUAUUCCAUUAAAAAAACAGCUAUAUCCAGCUAGAAUAGUCAUUUACCACAUUAAUUCAAUUCAAGUUUAUUUAUAUAGCGGCAAUUACAGGUCAAAUUGUCUCAAGAUGCUUCACAGAACCCAUAUGACCUGAACCCCCAGAGCAAGCCCUAAGGCGACAGUGGCAAGAAAAAAAAACUGCCUGUUAAUGGGAAGAAACCUUGAGCAGAACCCGGCUCUGUAUAUGGAGGGACCCAUCUGCCUGCUGGCUGGUGGGUUGAGAAGGACAGAAGAGGUAUAGAGGUAGAGGUAGUGGGGGAGAGGUGAGGGGAGAUGGAGGGGGAGGGACGGGAGAAGAGGAGGAUGGGCAGGAAGGAGCAUACAACACACAAUUGUGCAUUAGCAACGUGUAGACUGGAUUUCUAAUUCAUUUAAUGUUGUCUUCAUUGAAAAAAAACUGAUUUUCUUUGAAAAAUAAGGACAUUUCAAAGUGACCACACACUUUUCAACAGUACUGUAUGUCUAGCUGUCUGCCCUUUGCACUUCUUUGUUCCCUCUUCUUUUCUUCCAUCUCCUCUUCCUAUCUUCUACUUUAGGGAGCUGCUGCCGAUCCCUGACUAAACCUUCCCCACAUCACAGCUGCCAAAUCUCAGUCUCACCAACACAACACUCAUUUCAAUUCAAGAAACGAUCAUGUUUCAUCUGAUGGCGGGUUCCUAGCUCGAGAACUCGCAACACAAAAUGACAUUGCCCGCACCAGCCUUCGACAGCGUGGCUUAUCACAGCAGUGUGUGUGCUCUCCAGGUGUGUUUGAUAUCUUUAAUGAACUAGUGCAUUCCAUUUCAUUGAGCUGUGGUUGCAGGUGUUGGUACCAUUUCCUCAUGGUCACACCGAGCAGCUUUUCCUGUACUGACAUGUCUGCUCACUACAUAACCAAUCAUUUUAUCAUCAUCAUCAUCGUAAGUGUAAAGCGUCAGGUGUUUUAGGUAUUUCAGAGCAGUGAGGAGCUCUGAGUGGAGCUGGUUGGACAGCUAUCAGGGUUCUGUCCAAUCAGGUUUUCUCACUCUUCCCUCCCUAACAGAGAGACGUUAAAGCUUCCUUUGUGAUUGUUAGUCAGCUUUCUUGAGCUGUCAUGCCAUGACGAAUCUUUUCUGUCUAAAUGCAUUAAAAAGAAUAUGACAUUUAAUUGACUGAUUAACCAAAUACCGCUGAAAGAGAAUGUGUCGCUUCCAGCCGUUUAGUCAUUUUUCCUCUGAGUUUAUUAAAUGCAUGCAGCAUCAGGAUCCUUAUGAGCGUCUCUAGAGUGAUUUAUCACAGUGGAUCAGCUAUUUGUUUCAUCAGAUCAUCAUGUCAGGUUUACUCUUUUGAACUUUUCUCUUGAAGUCUUGCAGUAUUUUCUGUAGUGAUGAUUGUAUCUGUGGAUGUUUUCCCCUAAAUGUGUGAGGGAUUUGACCUUUCAUGUACAAUGAAAAACCACCACAGGUCACCUUGUAACAAUGACAGCUGCUGUAAUUUGUGUCAUUUUGUGUAAUUAAGCUUGGUGCUCAGUGCCGUAAUGUAAUGAAGAGAGAUCAACCGACCAGCUGAAUUAUGUGAUUCACCGUUUUCUUCUUUUUACCAGCUAAAAAGGUUAUGUUAACAUGUUGUAGGACACACCUUCUAAGCAUAAUAAUCAUUUAGGAUAUUAUUUUGACUAUAUAUAUAUAUUCCCACAAUUGCAAGAAACAUCAAUGGGAAAAAAAACCCCCAAAAAAGUAGAUUUAAAUUUCAUUUCUACUGUUUUGAGAUUCAGUUUGGUCGUCAGAGAGGUGGGACAAGAAAAACGAAAAAUGGCAUUUACAGGGGAACUCCAGACUUAUUUGGUAUUUUAAAAAUAUUUUCAAACAUUUUUUUCCUUUUUUUUAAGAUUUGGUCUCAGGACUACUACAUUUACACAACAACUGCAUGUUUUAGGAUUUUGUACAUGGAUUUUUAGAAAUUAGAGGUGUGGGACUUAAAAUGUCGUCCAGUUCUGGAAUGACCCAUAUACUGUCACAAUGCUGUGUUUUUAUACUAUUUUCAGCCAAGUGGUUGGUUAUACAUGAAUGCCCUAGCAUUGAAAAAUAUUUUCAAAAAUCCUUUGAAAAUGUAAUAACUGGAGCCGAUUAUGUAAUUUAACGUAAGUAGGACUGCAUUUCUUGUAAAUAAGAUUUUUUUUUUUCAAUUUUUCCUGCAGUUUGCUCAUUAAAAAUAGGUAAAGUGGACGGCAUAGUCAUCACAUUAAUUCAUCAAGAUAGAUUUAAGGUAGCUCUCACUCUCCUUAAUUCUAGUUGUAAGAGCCAGUUUGAGAAUUAUUUGUUGUACAAAAUCUUUAGAAUAUUUUUUAUUUACUCAUAUAUAAAUUCAUACUUCCAUGUCAGCAUCUCUGGUGGAUGUUGCAUUGUCAAAUGAACUUACUGCACUUUUUCCUCAGAAAACAUUUUUUAAGACUUUUCAAACAUGGAAAAAAAACAAUUCAGUCCUCACUUAAAAUGGUAUUUAAAUAACUGGACUGACAUUAUAAUAACACUUGACUCCAAAAAACUGAAGACGAUUAUGUAUAUAGUGAACUAAGGGGAAAACAACAUAAAAUUGACAUCAUUUCUUCCAGUAAAUGUCCUUAACUUUACACAUUACUGAGAAGAAUCCAGGCUUCAUCCACUGGCUGUUCUCAACUAAUAACUGUUUUAUGUGUGAACUUAGACACUGUUGGUCCAGCAGCCUUGUAGAGCUUCACACUACAAAUAGAAAAGUCAUCUUCUGUCUCAUUCUAGGCUCUCUGCAAGUACUUCUCUUAUAAGAAGAAAUGCAGUCCCAUUUAUGUGUUAUUACACUGUUGGCUGCAGUUAUUACAUUUUCAAUUAUUUAUUGCUAGACCAUGAAUGUAAUAAUCAAAAUAUUACUUUUGGAUCAAAAACUAAUGCAUUCUUGACUUCAUUGAAUUUAAAAUGGCUAAAAUUAUUACAUUGUUGGCUGCUGUUGCAUGAUUAUACAUGUAGCUAUGUUUAGUUCCUUUAUCUACCGUCUGCAGACCUGCAACUUGAAUUUCCAUUUCUUGCAUAAGUUUUGUCAAUAUUUUAUUGUCUAUGUUUUUGGAUUCUAUCCUUAUGUGAACUCAUGCAACAGAACAAUAAAGAUAAAGAUGUUUAUUCCUUCUGCUCUAAUAAAUACUGAACAAACUUUUUA
Acanthochromis polyacanthus (spiny chromis) is the source of this 3866-nucleotide long non-coding RNA. RefSeq lists it as uncharacterized. NCBI's taxonomy places the organism in Eukaryota, Metazoa, Chordata, Actinopteri, Pomacentridae. The transcript has 2 exons. The record is from RefSeq and is a predicted model, not a curated record.